GCAGAACGCGAAGAACCUUACCAAGGCAUGACAUGUAGGAGGAAACGGCUAGAAAUAGUCGCCCCGCAAGGUCUCCUACACAGGUGGUGCAUGGUUGUCGUCAGCUCGUGUCGUGAGAUGUUCGGUUAAGUCCGGCAACGAGCGCAACCCUCGUCCUAUGUUGCCAGCGGGUAAUGCCGGGAACUCAUGGGAUACUGCCGUGGUCAACACGGAGGAAGGUGGGGAUGAGGUCAAAUCAUCAUGCCCCUUAAGUCUUGGGCUUCACGCAUGCUACAAUGGCCGAUACAAAGGGCUGCGAUACCGCAAGGUGGAGCGAAUCCCAAAAAGUCGGUCUCAGUUCGGAUUGGGGUCUGCAACUCGACCCCAUGAAGUCGGAGUCGCUAGUAAUCGCAGAUCAGCAACGCUGCGGUGAAUACGUUCCCGGGUCUUGUACACACCG
RNAcentral lists this ribosomal RNA (439 nucleotides) under uncultured bacterium. Its description in RNAcentral is "bacterial SSU rRNA". It matches the Rfam family "Bacterial small subunit ribosomal RNA", at positions 954 to 1392 of the family's 1533-position model. The record is from RNAcentral.